This 501-nucleotide ribosomal RNA is filed under the name uncultured bacterium. RNAcentral's name for it is "partial 16S ribosomal RNA". It matches the Rfam family "Bacterial small subunit ribosomal RNA", at positions 30 to 523 of the family's 1533-position model. The record is from RNAcentral.
AUUGAACGCUGGCGGCAUGCCUUACACAUGCAAGUCGAACGGCAGCACGGGUGCUUGCACCUGGUGGCGAGUGGCGAACGGGUGAGUAAUAUAUCGGAACGUACCUUAUUGUGGGGGAUAACGCAGCGAAAGCUGUGCUAAUACCGCAUAAUCCCUAAGGGGGAAAGCGGGGGACCGUAAGGCCUCGCGCAAUUAGAGCGGCCGAUACCUGAUUAGCUAGUUGGUGAGGUAAAGGCUCACCAAGGCAACGAUCAGUAGCUGGUCUGAGAGGACGAUCGGCCACACUGGGACUGAGACACGGCCCAGACUCCUACGGGAGGCAGCAGUGGGGAAUUUUGGACAAGGGGGGCAACCCUGAUCCAGCAAUGCCGCGUGAGUGAAGAAGGCCUUCGGGUUGUAAAGCUCUUUUGUCAGGGAAGAAACAGCAGCUCUAACACAGUAUGCGAAUGACGGUACCUGAAGAAUAAGCACCGGCUAACUACGUGCCAGCAGCCGCCGUAA